RNAcentral lists this long non-coding RNA (246 nucleotides) under Elaeis guineensis (African oil palm). RNAcentral's name for it is "long non-coding RNA (EGUI_LNC064861)". Lineage: Eukaryota; Viridiplantae; Streptophyta; Magnoliopsida; Arecales; Arecaceae. The record is from RNAcentral.
GCCGAAAAGUAAAGAUAGAUAAGUACUUCUUUAUCUUGUUAAUUAUUCUCAAUCUAAUGAACAACUUCCUCCUUGCAAGUUGAUAGCAGUCUGGCCACUAUUUUAAAUUUGUAGGCCUAGAGAAAAGCCAAACUACCUACAUAUACUUUCACAUUUUUGACCCACACUUCAAGUUCUUCAACUGACAUUCUGAAGCUAAAGAAGGUCAUUCAGCAUGUCACUGGCUUUGACCUCGAUGGUUUGGCU